This 174-nucleotide ribosomal RNA is filed under the name Micrococcus terreus. RNAcentral describes it as "16S rRNA. Bacterial SSU". It matches the Rfam family "Bacterial small subunit ribosomal RNA", at positions 1 to 171 of the family's 1533-position model. Lineage: Bacteria; Bacillati; Actinomycetota; Actinomycetes; Micrococcales; Micrococcaceae. The record is from RNAcentral.
UUUUUACGGAGAGUUUGAUCCUGGCUCAGGAUGAACGCUGGCGGCGUGCUUAACACAUGCAAGUCGAACGAUGAAGCCCAGCUUGCUGGGUGGAUUAGUGGCGAACGGGUGAGUAACACGUGAGUAACCUGCCCUUGACUCUGGGAUAAGCCUGGGAAACUGGGUCUAAUACUG